AUGGCCAGUACUGGAUAUAUAAGGGGGAGGGUCGUUCACUGUGGCUUUGCCCUGUGGUGUCACCCCAUGUCCCCUUCCUCACACAGCUGUCUUCUGUUUGUCCCUGUACAAAUAGUCUCUAAGGUGGUGUCAGAAUGGUGUGCAUGUGGAAGAGGAGGAAGGUUGCGUAACAUUAGUGUGUUUGCGUAUGCAGUGGAACAACAUACACUCAACUCCAGCUACUCCCUCCAGGACAGUUACACAACACAAAGUGAAGACGGUGUGAGAGUUUUAAAAAGUCUUCUUACUCAUUUGCAUUUCUUGUAUACUAGGUACAAUUAGUGUAAGUAAAAAGAGAAAAAGGGAACCAUACUAAUGCCUCAAAUUAUCUGUUAAACGAUGUUCUGUUAAGAAAUGCAGUCAGGGAGUGGUGUAAGAUGCAUGGUUAGUUAACUACUAACGAACUAGAAUGAACACUACCAUUUCUCAUUUAAAAAACACACAUAUUACACAAACAGAAUGUGGAAGUGGAAGUGAGACUUGGAAUUCAAAAUGUCUUGCACGGAAUCUCCGUGGAGAAUUGUAUGUUGUGUGUAUGACUCUGUGGGUCUGGGGAGACCAUGUCAUCAUCAUGUUCAGUAGUCUUGGUAAGCAUAGCAAGUUAACAAGCAGCAGUGGCUAAUAAUAUACUUGGCCUUGGACAGGGUAGCAGGUAAUAUGAGUCUAAACACUCCAUAUGACCUUCAGCCAAAGCUGGUUUUUAAGGUACAGUGUGUGCACGUCUGUUACAGCUUGUACUUAUCUGCACAAUUUUUGUUUUAUCUCCUAGGUUUUACUUGCUGCAUAUUUUAUGUCACUUUUGAAUGCAUGUAAAUAUGCAUAUGUACUUGCAUGCUUGUAAAAAAGUGUUAGGUAGUGGGACAGGCAGGUCACCUGAAGUGGUGUGAAAUUUCAUUUUCAAUUCAUAUAAUAGCCUGACACUAUAUUUGGUAUUCCUGAAUGUUGCACAACACUUUGCACUAAUAGUGUCUAAUUACAUUAACUAAUUGAAUUUACUGCAAUGCACUUGAUGCCUAAAUGCAUGGAAAAUGCAACUCUGCAGGUCUGUUAUGUGUCAGAAUGGCACGUGUCCAUCAAAUGAUGUUAUAGUUUGUCCAGUUGAGUCUAAGAUUGGAGAGAACAUAUGAAACAUUAGCUAAUCAACCAAUACUAACUGCUACCAUAAACUGCAGCAGUACCUAAGAAAUAGUGAAGCAUUCGAGUUUAUUUUGUAACUGAAUCAAGUAUGAGGUGAUGUCAGAAAGGAAGACUUGUUUUUAUGAGUUUGUGUAUGUUUUUGUCAAACUCUCAUGACCCUCAUCUCUCUCUCUUUUCAACACUCCUGAAUCCCAUCCUCCGUCGCUCCCUCCAUGUCUCUGGGUUGUAUUGCAUUGACUCAGCAAAGAACACGAUCAGUGAAGUUGAUAUAAAUCAGACUUUCCCCUUUCAUAUCCAUAGUAGUGUGAGCCUGCUAAUGGAACCACAGAUAAUUAUUCUGACACCUUGGUUCAUACUGUUUCACUCUCUAAGUGUGUGACUGCAGUCUAGAUACUUACAUAAGUACAUAAGGAGUGUAUCGUGUCUACACUUGGCAUGUGUUGCAUAAAAUGUGAUAUGAUCGAGUGAGUGUAUUAAUGUGCAUCUCAGUGAGUCCACCAGUACACAGUGUGCCUGCAACUUAACACAUUAUUUAUAUAAUUAUGAAGGAUUUCUCUCUCUAAAUAAUUAUACAGUGCAUAUGAAAUACUAUUAUUUUUUUGAAGAUUUGGUAAAUAUUUUACUGCAUUGUUGAUGUGCAUUUAUGAAAUCCAUAGACAGAAGAUUAUAAUGCUGUGUAUUAUAGAUUAAAAUACUGACAGCAUAAUUGAACAUUUCUGAAAAGUCUAUUUCGAAGAAAAAUAUAUUAACCCAACAUUUUUUAUUUUGUGACACAUUCUUAUUCUCGCUCUCUGUGAUUGUAGCCAGUGGACUUUUCUCAUGAAAUGAGUACCUGACUGAACUAUAAUUGCUGGUUCAACACAUUUAUGUGGAUUUACUGAUGUUUGUGUGGCUUCAGUAAGACGUAGAAUGUUAUUCUGUGCUCAGGAAGCAGAUGUACAUCAUAUAAAGUGAUGCAUUGUUAUUAUUUGUGUUUCAGAUCCUGUAGAUACAGAAUUCUAGAACUGCCAAUCAGUAGAGACAGAACAACCAACAACUCUCCCUGAUGGCCACCUGCUGCCACUGCAAUCUGAAAACAAGAAAGGAGAGUGAUGUGAGGAUUAUGAGAAUGUGAUAAAACAAGAAAUGAGAUGAUAGAAUAUGUUGUUAAGCAGUUAUUAAUCAAUAAAUGAAUUAAAUCAUGAGGGAGUUGUGUUGUUGAACUCUUUUGAAAGAAUUUACUACAAAGCAUUCAUAGUUUCCAUAUCUUUUCUCAGUACAUUGGCUUUUUUAAAUAACUGUUUAUGUAUUUUAUUUGUAGGUAUUUAUUUAUAAUAUAAUUUUCUAAUCCAACCAGUGCAGUGUAAUUGGUCUUUGUGUGCGACUGUGCGUUAUUGCUCAGAGAGCAGUAUUAGUUUGUUUCCACUUGAGGCGCAGUUGUGUUCCGAGUUUACUACCACAACAUUGACACCAGAACAUGUCUGUGGUUCAUGAUUUUUUUCACCCUUUCUCUCUACAAGCAUUUUCUUUGCUUUAGAAAAUUCCUCAGCUUAGUUAAUAAAAUACAGCUUGCAAAACUAACCUUGACUCUGAGUAUAUUAUUGAGUUGUGACAACAGUAUGCAACACAGGAAGCUGACCAAACAUUGUAACAACGAAAAAGUUUGUGACUGUUCUCCUUUCUGGAAUGCUUGAAUCAUAUAUGAUUAAUAGGAGAUACUGGGUGGGUGCUUGUGGGAGCAGCUGGUUUAGUGUUUGUCUUUAGAUUGUUUAAAAAGUCCCAGGCCUUUGUUUAUUUGGCAAGGCUCAGGAUUUCAGAAAGGUAGUCAGUAGUUACGUAAACCACAGCAACUGAGGGAGAUGUGGUUGAGAGGGUCAUCCAGAUCCAUUUUUUAAGACACUGGCUUAGGUGGCCUCUGCUCUUUUUCUUAUCUUCUUACAAUAUCACAGGUCCUGGCUGAGGAUAAGUGGAAGAAAAUGUGUAAAAUUAGUGUACAUUCAUUGGGCUUCAUUUAUGCAACACAAGCAGAAAAGAUUUCUGUGUAAAUAGUUUGUUAAAUAUUUUUAUGUACAUUGUUGCAAUAAACUGAAUGUUUCAUGAAACAGAAAUUAAUUACACGUUUCAUUAACAAGCAGAAAGACAGAAAUACAUGAAUUCAGAAUAUAUAAUACAUUAUAUGGAUAUACUUAUUAAGUGGCUAU
This is a long non-coding RNA of Cyprinus carpio carpio, 3356 nucleotides long. The record is from Ensembl. NCBI's taxonomy places the organism in Eukaryota, Metazoa, Chordata, Actinopteri, Cypriniformes, Cyprinidae.